RNAcentral lists this unclassified non-coding RNA (389 nucleotides) under soil metagenome. RNAcentral's name for it is "partial contains 5.8S ribosomal RNA, internal transcribed spacer 2, and large subunit ribosomal RNA". The stretch from base 1 to 122 matches the Rfam family "5.8S ribosomal RNA", at positions 35 to 154 of the family's 154-position model. The record is from RNAcentral.
GAUGAAGAACGCAGCGAAAUGCGAUACUUGGUGUGAAUUGCAGAAUCCCGUGAACCAUCGAGUCUUUGAACGCAAGUUGCGCCCGAAGCCACUAGGCCGAGGGCACGCCUGCCUGGGCGUCACACGCCGUUGCCCCCCCAUCUACUCCUUCGGGAUUGCGGGGGGGCGGAUGAUGGCCUCCCGUGCGCCUAGCCGCGCGGUUGGCAUAAAUACCAAGUCCUCGGCGACGCACGCCACGACAAUCGGUGGUUGCGAAACCUCGGUUGCCCGUCGUGUGCGUUCGUCGCGCAUCGAGGGCUCGAAAAAAUGCUCGGCUCCGGCUGGGCUUUCAACGCGACCCCAGGUCAGGCGGGGUUACCCGCUGAAUUUAAGCAUAUCAAAGCGGAGGA